UUUCCGUAGGUGAACCUGCGGAAGGAUCAUUAAAGAGUAAGGGUCUUCGGGCCCGAUCUCCAACCCUUUGUUUAACUACCAUGUUGCUUUGGCGGGCCGUUAGGCUCCGGCCCGACUACCGGCCCCGGCUGGUAAGCGCCCGCCAGAGGACCCAAAACCCUGAAUAUUAGUGUCGUCUGAGUACUAUAUAAUAGUUAAAACUUUCAACAACGGAUCUCUUGGUUCUG
RNAcentral lists this unclassified non-coding RNA (227 nucleotides) under plant metagenome. Its description in RNAcentral is "partial contains small subunit ribosomal RNA, internal transcribed spacer 1, and 5.8S ribosomal RNA". The record is from RNAcentral.